RNAcentral lists this ribosomal RNA (497 nucleotides) under uncultured bacterium. RNAcentral describes it as "partial 16S ribosomal RNA". It matches the Rfam family "Bacterial small subunit ribosomal RNA", at positions 28 to 507 of the family's 1533-position model. The record is from RNAcentral.
GAUGAACGCUGGCGGCGUGCCUAAUACAUGCAAGUCGAGCGAACAGACGAGGAGCUUGCUCCUCUGACGUUAGCGGCGGACGGGUGAGUAACACGUGGAUAACCUACCUAUAAGACUGGGAUAACUUCGGGAAACCGGAGCUAAUACCGGAUAAUAUAUUGAACCGCAUGGUUCAAUAGUGAAAGACGGUUUUGCUGUCACUUAUAGAUGGCUCCGCGCCGCAUUAGCUAGUUGGUAAGGUAACGGCUUACCAAGGCAACGAUGCGUAGCCGACCUGAGAGGGGGAUCGGCCACACUGGAACUGAGACACGGUCCAGACGCCUACGGGAGGCAGCAGUAGGGAAUCUUCCGCAAUGGGCGAAAGCCUGACGGAGCAACGCCGCGUGAGUGAUGAAGGUCUUCGGAUCGUAAAACUCUGUUAUUAGGUAAGAACAAAUGUGUAAGUAACUAUACACGUCUUGACGGUACCUAAUCAGAAAGCCACGGCUAACUACGUG